UACGUAGGGGGCAAGCGUUGUCCGGAUUUAUUGGGCGUAAAGAGCGUGUAGGCGGCUUUACAGGUCCGUUGUGAAAACUCGAGGCUCAACCUCGAGACGCCGGUGGAAACCGUAAAGCUAGAGUCCGGAAGAGGAGAGUGGAAUUCCUGGUGUAGCGGUGAGAUGCGCAGAUAUCAGGAGGAACACCGGUGGCGAAGGCGGGUCUCUGGGCAGUAACUGACGCUGAGGAGCGAAAGCGUGGGGAGCGAACAGG
RNAcentral lists this ribosomal RNA (253 nucleotides) under uncultured bacterium. RNAcentral describes it as "partial 16S ribosomal RNA". It matches the Rfam family "Bacterial small subunit ribosomal RNA", at positions 524 to 776 of the family's 1533-position model. The record is from RNAcentral.